GACGAACGCUGGCGGCGUGCUUAACACAUGCAAGUCGAGCGGUAAGGCCCUCGGGUACGACGAGCGGCGAACGGGUGAGUAACACGUGGGUGACCUGCCUCUAGCUCUGGGAUAAGCCUGGGAAACUGGGUCUAAUACCGGAUAUGACUCCACGGCGCAUGUUGUGGGGUGGAAAGCCUUGUGUGGCUAGAGAUGGGCCCGCGG
Molecule: ribosomal RNA, 204 nt
Filed under: uncultured bacterium
Lineage: Bacteria
Description: partial 16S ribosomal RNA
Rfam family: Bacterial small subunit ribosomal RNA
Source: RNAcentral